Molecule: ribosomal RNA, 472 nt
Filed under: uncultured bacterium
Lineage: Bacteria
Description: bacterial SSU rRNA
Rfam family: Bacterial small subunit ribosomal RNA
Source: RNAcentral
CUACGCAACUCCUACGGGAGGCAGCAGUGGGGAAUAUUGCACAAUGGGCGCAAGCCUGAUGCAGCCAUGCCGCGUGUAUGAAGAAGGCCUUCGGGUUGUAAAGUACUUUCAGCAGUGAGGAAGGUGGGUAUGUUAAUAGCAUACUCAUUUGACGUUAGCUGCAGAAGAAGCACCGGCUAACUCCGUGCCAGCAGCCGCGGUAAUACGGAGGGUGCGAGCGUUAAUCGGAAUUACUGGGCGUAAAGCGCAUGCAGGUGGUUUGUUAAGUCAGAUGUGAAAGCCCGGGGCUCAACCUCGGAAUUGCAUUUGAAACUGGCAAACUAGAGUACUGUAGAGGGGGUAGAAUUUCAGGUGUAGCGGUGAAAUGCGUAGAGAUCUGAAGGAAUACCGGUGGCGAAGGCGGCCCCCUGGACAGAUACUGACACUCAGAUGCGAAAGCGUGGGGAGCAAACAGGAUUAGAUACCCUGGUAG